Molecule: ribosomal RNA, 458 nt
Filed under: uncultured bacterium
Lineage: Bacteria
Description: partial 16S ribosomal RNA
Rfam family: Bacterial small subunit ribosomal RNA
Source: RNAcentral
CCUACGGGGUGCUGCAGUGAGGAAUAUUGGUCAAUGGGCGAGAGCCUGAACCAGCCAAGUCGCGUGAGGGAGUACUUCCCUAUGGGUUGUAAACCUCUUUUGUCGGGGAGAAAAAGCCGGACGUGUCCGGCUGUGAGAGUACCCGAAGAAAAAGCAUCGGCUAACUCGGUGCAAGCAGCCGCGGUAAUACGGAGGAUGCGAGCGUUAUCCGGAUUUAUUGGGGUUAAAGGGUGCGCAGGCGGAUUUUUAAGUCAGCGGUAAAAUCGUGGGGCUCAACCCCAUCCAGCCGUUGAAACUGGGGAUCUAGAGUGUGCGAGAGGUAUGCGGAAUGCGUGGUGUAGCGGUGAAAUGCGUGGAUAUCACGCAGAACCCCGGUUGCGAAGGCAGCAUACCGGUGCACAACUGACGCUCAGGCACGAAAGCGUGGGUAUCGAACAGGAUUAGAUACCCCAGUAGUC